CUGAAACAAGCCGAGUCAUGCGGGGGAAAGAACAGGAGGAGAGGAACGAAGAACAAGAAGGAAUCGCAACAGAUCGGGAAGAAAAAGGUGGGAGCUUUCUUACUUUGAGGGGAAUGUUGUCUGGCUCGAGGUGCGCAGAAACCUGGUGGAGAUCUCAUCUCGAUCUAGGUUGAUCUCGGACCAGGCUUCAUUCCCCUCAAGUAGAGCUCCCCGUUCCGCGUCGAUCCCUCUUGUUCUUGCCUCCUAUGCUGUGCUUACACAUGUGGGUACAUAUGCACAUGACUGGUAUGUUAAUUCACAAAGGAGGCAGUAUAUAUACUUUUUUUAAUAUAUGCAGCUGGCUGAUGCAGGUUAAUGCACAAAGGAGGCGGAUUUUAAUAUAUGCAGGUAACUUCUUGUAACUUGCAAGGCACAACCAGCUGGUUAACUUAUUUUUUACAGGUCAGGACUGAGUACGUUUGAGGUUUGAGUUGAACAAAUUCACGUGCACUGUUGACUAGCAGUGGUGUCCUUUUUGAAGAAGGGACAGGUAAUGCUGCAGUCUUAUGUAGAUCCCUAAUGUCACAAGUUUACUGUUGGAGAUUAUGUCUGUGCAUGCAAAAGAAGUAAAGCAAGAUCAGUCCAUACAGGAUUUGUAUUCUCAUGACUGUUUUAGCUGGCGUCAACUUCACAAGUUGUAAAACGCAUGUGAUGCAUGUCCACAUGUACACGGUACUGCAAACUAUAUAUAGUACUGAUCAUGCAGCCAAAUUACAAAAACUGAAGACGGAAAUGGUCACAGCAUUAGGCAAAAAGAAAACAUGAAAUCAAAUAGCUAGCGGAUGAGAUGGUUCUUGUUUAUUUGUCUGGAUACGCGAGUCUAACUUUCUUUUGAGAUGACACUGCAACUUUAGAGGCGGGUUUUGGAAAGUUGAAAGUUCCUUGUAGAGGCUACGAACCAAAAGGCGGCAACAACAAUUGGAUCGGAGAAGCAGUUGAGCAAGACAGCCACGUGCAUGCGAUGGAAUUAUCCCUUUUAAGUGUGUGCAUCGAGUACAUUAUCUUGUGGGAGGAUGUGACUUGGGGGCAAGAGAUAAUUAGGUCGGUGUACCAAAACCCUAAAGUGAGCUAGGCACAGCAAUGGUCUAGGAGUCCUUGCUGUGUACUAAAAUAGCAAAAUAUACUCCGCUCCUCAGUGGAAUGGGAGCUUCAGGCCU
Long non-coding RNA from Setaria italica (foxtail millet), 1196 nucleotides. RefSeq lists it as uncharacterized. The record is from RefSeq and is a predicted model, not a curated record. The transcript has 2 exons. NCBI's taxonomy places the organism in Eukaryota, Viridiplantae, Streptophyta, Magnoliopsida, Poales, Poaceae.